AUACAAUGGAGAGUUUGAUCCUGGCUCAGGAUGAACGCUAGCGGCAGGCCUAAUACAUGCAAGUCGAGCGGUAGAGGAGCUUUCGGGUUCCUUGAGAGCGGCGCACGGGUGCGUAACACGUAUGCAACCUACCUUUUACAGGGGGAUAGCCCGGGGAAACCCGGAUUAAUACCCCAUGGUACUAUUGAUCGGCAUCGUGAUAUAGUUAAAGAUUUAUCGGUAAAAGAUGGGCAUGCGUCUGAUUAGCUAGUU
Molecule: ribosomal RNA, 252 nt
Filed under: Algoriphagus hitonicola
Lineage: Bacteria; Pseudomonadati; Bacteroidota; Cytophagia; Cytophagales; Cyclobacteriaceae
Description: 16S rRNA. Bacterial SSU
Rfam family: Bacterial small subunit ribosomal RNA
Source: RNAcentral